AUCACUUCUUGGCCUUUUGGCUAAGAUCAAAUAUAGUAUCUGUUCUUAUCAGUAAUAUCUGAUACGUCCUCUAUCCAAGGACAAUAUAUUAAAUGGAUUUUUGGAGCAUGGAGAUGGACUAGGAGCUUAAUCCGUCCACUCCACGCAUCUACCUGGUAUUGCAGUAUCUCCAGGAACAGUGCAUCUCCU
Molecule: small nuclear RNA, 189 nt
Filed under: Carlito syrichta (Philippine tarsier)
Lineage: Eukaryota; Metazoa; Chordata; Mammalia; Primates; Tarsiidae
Description: U2 spliceosomal RNA (ENSTSYG00000033199.1)
Rfam family: U2 spliceosomal RNA
About the family: U2 is a small nuclear RNA (snRNA) component of the spliceosome (involved in pre-mRNA splicing).
Source: Rfam by way of RNAcentral